Molecule: small nucleolar RNA, 87 nt
Organism: Pistacia vera
Lineage: Eukaryota; Viridiplantae; Streptophyta; Magnoliopsida; Sapindales; Anacardiaceae
Product: small nucleolar RNA snoR114
Exons: 1
Source: RefSeq, a predicted model, not a curated record
GAGCUGUGAUGAUCAUCUUGCUCAUGUGAUGGUAGGGUCCAUCACCAAAGUCUGAUCAAAUUGAUGAGAAAAAGCAUAUCUGAGCUC